RNAcentral lists this ribosomal RNA (252 nucleotides) under uncultured bacterium. Its description in RNAcentral is "partial 16S ribosomal RNA". It matches the Rfam family "Bacterial small subunit ribosomal RNA", at positions 524 to 776 of the family's 1533-position model. The record is from RNAcentral.
UACAGGUGGGGCAAACGAUAUCUCGCUUCGACCGGUGUAAAAGGUAUGUAGGUAUGCUAGAUCUCAUAAUAGGUAAAUUUUUAUUGAUUAGUAAAAACAUAUAUUUGAUGACUAGUGAGUAAUUUGAUGGAAAUUUAAAGAAUUUCGAGGCUAACCGUAAAAUGUAGUAACCCUUGAAGGAAUGCCGAAUGUGUAAACAUUUCUUUUUUGUAAAAUUUGAGCUAAAAUACGAAAACAUGGGUAGCGAACCGG